UACGAAGGGGGCUAGCGUUGUUCGGAUUUACUGGGCGUAAAGCGUACGUAGGCGGAUUGUUAAGUGAGAGGUGAAAUCCCAGGGCUCAACCCUGGAACUGCCUUUCAUACUGGUAAUCUUGAGUUCGGAAGAGGUGAGUGGAAUUCCUAGUGUAGAGGUGAAAUUCGUAGAUAUUAGGAAGAACACCGGUGGCGAAGGCGGCUCACUGGUCCGAUACUGACGCUGAGGUACGAAAGCGUGGGGAGCAAACAGG
RNAcentral lists this ribosomal RNA (253 nucleotides) under uncultured bacterium. RNAcentral describes it as "partial 16S ribosomal RNA". It matches the Rfam family "Bacterial small subunit ribosomal RNA", at positions 524 to 776 of the family's 1533-position model. The record is from RNAcentral.